This 200-nucleotide ribosomal RNA is filed under the name uncultured bacterium. Its description in RNAcentral is "partial 16S ribosomal RNA". It matches the Rfam family "Bacterial small subunit ribosomal RNA", at positions 8 to 226 of the family's 1533-position model. The record is from RNAcentral.
AGAGUUUGAUCCUGGCUCAGGAUAAACGCUGGCGGCGUGCCUAACACAUGCAAGUCGAACGCCCUUGAGCAAUCGAGGGAGUGGCGGACGGGUGAGUAACACGUGAGUAUCUACCCCUUAGUGAGGAAUACCGGCGAGAAAUCGCCGACAAGACCGCAUAGGCUUCGCAAGAAGCAAAGCUCGCGAGAGCGCUGAGGGAU